GCCUACGGGGCGCAGCAGUGAGGAAUAUUGGUCAAUGGGCGAGAGCCUGAACCAGCCAAGUCGCGUGAGGGAGUACUGCCCUAUGGGUUGUAAACCUCUUUUGUCGGGGAGCAAAGGCCGGACGUGUCCGGCUGUGAGAGUACCCGAAGAAAAAGCAUCGGCUAACUCCGUGCCAGCAGCCGCGGUAAUACGGAGGAUGCGAGCGUUAUCCGGAUUUAUUGGGUUUAAAGGGUGCGUAGGCGGAAUGCCAAGUCAGCGGUAAAAUCGCGGGGCUCAACCUCGCUCCGCCGUUGACACUGGCGUUC
RNAcentral lists this ribosomal RNA (305 nucleotides) under uncultured bacterium. Its description in RNAcentral is "bacterial SSU rRNA". It matches the Rfam family "Bacterial small subunit ribosomal RNA", at positions 337 to 641 of the family's 1533-position model. The record is from RNAcentral.